AGAGUUGAUCCUGGCUUAGGAUGAACGCUGGCGGCGCACAUAAGACAUGCAAGUCGAGCGAACUUAAUUCAUUCUUUAGAUUGAAAGCGGUAGUGGCGGACUGGUGAGUAAUGUAUAAGCAACCUGCCUAUCAGAGGGGAAUAACAGUGAGAAAUCAUUGCUAAUACCGCAUAUGCUAACAGAAUCGCAUGAUUUAGUUAGGAAAGGAGCAAUCCACUGAUAGAUGGGCUUAUAUCUGAUUAGCCUGUUGGUGGGGUAACGGCCUACCAAAGCUACGAUCAGUAGCCGGACUGAGAGGUUGAACGGCCACAUUGGGACUGAGAUACGGCCCAGACUCCUACGGGAGGCAGCAGUCGGGAAUAUUGCGCAAUGGAGGAAACUCCUGACGCAGUGACGCCGCGUAUAGGAAGAAGGUUUUCGGAUUGUAAACUAUUGUCGUUAGGGAAGAUACAAGACAGUACCUAAGGAGGAAGCCCCGGCUAACUAUGUGCCAGCCGCGGC
This 501-nucleotide ribosomal RNA is filed under the name uncultured bacterium. RNAcentral describes it as "bacterial SSU rRNA". It matches the Rfam family "Bacterial small subunit ribosomal RNA", at positions 8 to 518 of the family's 1533-position model. The record is from RNAcentral.